UUAUAUAGUUAAUACCCUGAAUAUACCCAAUCUCAGCAGCUAAGCAUGGCUGUGCUUGAUUAGUACUUGGAAGGAAAGCAGCCUGAGAAUAUCAGGUGCUGUAAGCU
Molecule: ribosomal RNA, 107 nt
Filed under: Paramormyrops kingsleyae
Lineage: Eukaryota; Metazoa; Chordata; Actinopteri; Osteoglossiformes; Mormyridae
Source: RNAcentral